GCCCUUAGAGUUUGAUCCUGGCUCAGAUUGAACGCUGGCGGCAUGCCUAACACAUGCAAGUCGAGCGGCAGCGCGGGGAAGCUUGCUUCCCUGGCGGCGAGCGGCGGACGGGUGAGUAACGCGUGGGAAUUUACCCUUCGGUGGGGGAUAGCCCGGGGAAACUCGGAUUAAUACCGCAUACGCCCUACGGGGGAAAGUGGGCCUCUGAUGCAAGCUCACGCCGAAGGAUGAGCCCGCGUCCGAUUAGCUAGUUGGUGGGGUAAAGGCCUACCAAGGCGACGAUCGGUAGCUGGUUUGAGAGGAUGAUCAGCCACACUGGGACUGAGACACGGCCCAGACUCCUACGGGAGGCAGCAGUGGGGAAUAUUGGACAAUGGGCGAAAGCCUGAUCCAGCAAUGCCGCGUGUGUGAAGAAGGCCUGCGGGUUGUAAAGCACUUUCAUCGGGGAGG
RNAcentral lists this ribosomal RNA (450 nucleotides) under uncultured Gammaproteobacteria bacterium. RNAcentral describes it as "bacterial SSU rRNA". It matches the Rfam family "Bacterial small subunit ribosomal RNA", at positions 1 to 447 of the family's 1533-position model. Lineage: Bacteria; Pseudomonadati; Pseudomonadota; Gammaproteobacteria. The record is from RNAcentral.